Molecule: ribosomal RNA, 755 nt
Filed under: uncultured Porphyromonas sp.
Lineage: Bacteria; Pseudomonadati; Bacteroidota; Bacteroidia; Bacteroidales; Porphyromonadaceae
Description: bacterial SSU rRNA
Rfam family: Bacterial small subunit ribosomal RNA
Source: RNAcentral
AACGUGUGCAGCAAGCCUAACCCUGCAAUUGAAACGGUAACAGAAAGAAAGCUUGCUUCUUUGCUGACGAGGGCGGUUGUGUGAGUAAUGUCUGGGAAAUUUCCUGAUGGAGGGGGAUAACUACUGAAAAACGGUAGCUAAUACCGCAUAACGUCGCAAGACCAAAGAGGGGGACCUUCGGGCCUCUUGCCAUCGGAUGUGCCCAGAUGGGAUUAGCUAGUAGGUGGGGUAACGGCUCACCUAGGCGACGAUCCCUAGCUGGUCUGAGAGGAUGACCAGCCACACUGGAACUGAGACACGGCCCAGACUCCUACGGGAGGCAGCAGUGGGGAAUUUUGGACAAUGGGCGAAAGCCUGAUCCAGCCAUGCCGCGUGCAGGAUGAAGGCCUUCGGGUUGUAAACUGCUUUUGUACGGAACGAAACGGCCUUUUCUAAUAAAGAGGGCUAAUGACGGUACCGUAAGAAUAAGCACCGGCUAACUACGUGCCAGCAGCCGCGGUAAUACGUAGGGUGCAAGCGUUAAUCGGAAUUACUGGGCGUAAAGCGUGCACAGGCGGUUUUGUAAGACGGAUGUGAAAUCCCCGGGCUUAACCUGGGAACUGCAUUCGUGACUGCAAGGCUAGAGUAUGGCAGAGGGGGGUAGAAUUCCACGUGUAGCAGUGAAAUGCGUAGAGAUGUGGAGGAAUACCGAUGGCGAAGGCAGCCCCCUGGGCCAAUACUGACGCUCAUGCACGAAAGCGUGGGGAGCAAACAGG